ACAUUGUGAUAUCAGAGUCUCCAUUCUUUUUCACAUACCCAUGGGUCCUCUCUGAGCCAAUAUCAUGAAGGAGGUUAUGAAAAUAACAACAUGACAGUCAGGAUGAUGACAGCUUGAGGGAGUUUGUGAAGUGGUCAAAUGAAAAAGAAUGGGAGACUCAAUAUCAUCUCUUGGACAGAAGUAAGCUGUUCCAAGACAUGGAAAGUCCUCAGAGGAGCAGACUGGAAAUGCAGUGAAAAAAUUAGAGAGGAAACCAGUGUGGGGACAUAAAACUCUCCAGAGAGGUGACUGCUAUAGCUUGGAUCUGAAAUAUCCCACAAAGACCUAAGUGUUAAAGCUGCAUGAAGUGAGAAGCUUACUCCAUCACAUGUCUCCCACCGUGAUCUACUGCCUCACCACAGACCCAGAAACAACAUGGCCUAGGAACCAUGUCCUGAAAUCUCUACAACUGGAAUGGUCCAUCUCCAGCCAUCCAACUCACCAACUGAUGUCCAUCUUUCUCAGCUCCACAGUGAAUCAUCAGGCUGAUACAACCUCUACGUUAUCUAUGGAACAACCAUUUCCUCUACCUUCAUCCUCACCUGGGUGUUCCAGAAAACUCUUAACCGGUUUCCUAUUCCUAGCAUCUUUUUCU
RNAcentral lists this long non-coding RNA (634 nucleotides) under Heterocephalus glaber (naked mole-rat). Its description in RNAcentral is "lncRNA (ENSHGLG00100034099.1)". Lineage: Eukaryota; Metazoa; Chordata; Mammalia; Rodentia; Bathyergidae. The record is from RNAcentral.